GGAAAACUCACCAGGUCCAGACAUGGGAAGGAUUGACAGAUUGACAGCUCUUUCUUGAUUCUAUGGGUGGUGGUGCAUGGCCGUUCUUAGUUGGUGGAGUGAUCUGUCUGGUUAAUUCCGUUAACGAACGAGACCUUAACCUGCUAAAUAGUCCGGGGAAUCCGCAAGGAUUUUCGUUGGGCUUCUUAGAGGGACUUCGUGUGUCUAACACGAGGAAGAUUGAGGCAAUAA
RNAcentral lists this ribosomal RNA (231 nucleotides) under uncultured eukaryote. Its description in RNAcentral is "partial 18S ribosomal RNA". It matches the Rfam family "Eukaryotic small subunit ribosomal RNA", at positions 1208 to 1456 of the family's 1831-position model. The record is from RNAcentral.